This 375-nucleotide ribosomal RNA is filed under the name uncultured bacterium. RNAcentral's name for it is "bacterial SSU rRNA". It matches the Rfam family "Bacterial small subunit ribosomal RNA", at positions 524 to 898 of the family's 1533-position model. The record is from RNAcentral.
UACGAAGGGGGCUAGCGUUGCUCGGAAUGACUGGGCGUAAAGGGCGCGUAGGCGGUUUAGACAGUCAGGCGUGAAAUUCCUGGGCUUAACCUGGGGGCUGCGUUUGAUACGUUUAGACUUGAGGAUGGAAGAGGCUCGUGGAAUUCCCAGUGUAGAGGUGAAAUUCGUAGAUAUUGGGAAGAACACCGGUGGCGAAGGCGGCGAGCUGGUCCAUUACUGACGCUGAGGCGCGAAAGCGUGGGGAGCAAACAGGAUUAGAUACCCUGGUAGUCCACGCUGUAAACGAUGUGCGCUGGAUGUUGGGUGGCUUAGCCACUCAGUGUCGUAGCUAACGCGAUAAGCGCACCGCCUGGGGAGUACGGCCGCAAGGUUGAA